AGGAUUAACGCUGGCGGCGUGCCUAACACAUGCAAGUCGAACGAGGUAGCAAUACCUAGUGGCAGACGGGUGAGUAGCGCGUGGUCAACCUACCGUUGAGUGGGGGAUAACUAGCCGAAAGGUUAGCUAAUACCGCAUACGUCUCCGAGGGGCAUCCCUUGGCGAUAAAAGGAGCAAUCCGCUCGAUGACGGGACCGCGUCCCAUUAGCUAGUUGGUGGGGUAACGGCCUACCAAGGCAUCGAUGGGUAGCUGGUUUGAGAGAGCGACCAGCCACACUGGGACUGAGAUACGGCCCAGACUCCUACGGGAGGCAGCAGUGAGGAAUUUUCCGCAAUGGGCGAAAGCCUGACGGAGCGACGCCGCGUGUGGGAAGAAGGCCUUCGGGUCGUAAACCACUGUCGAAGGGGAAGAUAAUGACGGUACCCUUGGAGGAAGCCCCGGCUAACGUACGUGCCAGCAGCCGC
RNAcentral lists this ribosomal RNA (465 nucleotides) under uncultured bacterium. RNAcentral's name for it is "SSU rRNA". It matches the Rfam family "Bacterial small subunit ribosomal RNA", at positions 26 to 518 of the family's 1533-position model. The record is from RNAcentral.